ACUGGGGUUCAGAAGUGUUCUCUUCAGCUCUUGCAGUGGUGUCUUACAACUAAUUGAUCACAGCCAGUUACAGAUUUCUUUGUUCCCUCUCCACUCCCGCUGCUUCACUUGACUAGCCU
Long non-coding RNA from Pipistrellus kuhlii (Kuhl's pipistrelle), 119 nucleotides. RefSeq lists it as uncharacterized. The record is from RefSeq and is a predicted model, not a curated record. The transcript has 4 exons. Lineage: Eukaryota; Metazoa; Chordata; Mammalia; Chiroptera; Vespertilionidae.